Molecule: ribosomal RNA, 410 nt
Filed under: uncultured Gammaproteobacteria bacterium
Lineage: Bacteria; Pseudomonadati; Pseudomonadota; Gammaproteobacteria
Description: bacterial SSU rRNA
Rfam family: Bacterial small subunit ribosomal RNA
Source: RNAcentral
UAGGGAAUAUUGCACAAUGGGGGAAACCCUGAUGCAGCCAUGCCGCGUGUGUGAAGAAGGCCUUCGGGUUGUAAAGCACUUUCAGUGGGGAGGAAAGCGAAAGCGUGACGUUACCCACAGAAGAAGCACCGGCUAACUCCGUGCCAGCAGCCGCGGUAAUACGGAGGGUGCAAGCGUUAAUCGGAAUAACUGGGCGUAAAGGGCAUGUAGGCGGAUAGAUAAGUAAGGUGUGAAAGCCCUGGGCUCAACCUAGGAACUGCACUUUAAACUGUCUAUCUAGAGUAUUGCAGAGGGAGAUGGAAUUCCAGGUGUAGCGGUGAAAUGCGUAGAUAUCUGGAAGAACAUCAGAGGCGAAGGCGGUCUCCUGGGCAAAUACUGACGCUGAGGUGCGAAAGCGUGGGGAGCAAACA